AAAUUAACAACAGAAUGAAAUACAUGGCUGCGUUGCCGCCGAAGUCGCUCUCAUUGUCCAAGAAAUUAUGUCGCUCAGCUGACCUGAAAAAACUUCACGAUGUGAAUACUAAAGAAUGCGAACUGUUUGCUCAAAGAUGGCUUUCGGAGGAGUGCGCACAAGCAGUGAUGACUUUUUACAACGCAUAUGAAAAAUAUAGUUGAAACAUUAAGUUGAUUCCUGUUUAUGAAAUCUUCGAUGUAUUUUCUUUCUGUGUAUUUUAUUCAGUUUGAUAAAAACCAUUUACA
Xenia sp. Carnegie-2017 is the source of this 287-nucleotide long non-coding RNA. RefSeq lists it as uncharacterized. The transcript has 2 exons. Lineage: Eukaryota; Metazoa; Cnidaria; Anthozoa; Malacalcyonacea; Xeniidae. The record is from RefSeq and is a predicted model, not a curated record.